GACGAACGCUGGCGGCGUGCCUAAUACAUGCAAGUAGAACGCUGAAGGAGGAGCUUGCUCUUCUGGAUGAGUUGCGAACGGGUGAGUAACGCGUAGGUAACCUGCCUGGUAGCGGGGGAUAACUAUUGGAAACGAUAGCUAAUACCGCAUAACAGUAGAUGUUGCAUGACAUUUACUUAAAAGGUGCAAUUGCAUCACUACCAGAUGGACCUGCGUUGUAUUAGCGAGUUGGUGGGGUAACGGCUCACCAAGGCGACGAUACAUAGCCGACCUGAGAAGGUGAUCGGCCACACUGGGACUGAGACACGGCCCAGACUCCUACGGGAGGCAGCAGUAGGGAAUCUUCGGCAAUGGACGGAAGUCUGACCGAGCAACGCCGCGUGAGUGAAGAAGGUUUUCGGAUCGUAAAGCUCUGUUGUAAGAGAAGAACGAGUGUGAGAGUGGAAAGUUCACACUGUGACGGUAUCUUACCAGAAAGGGACGGCUAACUACGUG
This 495-nucleotide ribosomal RNA is filed under the name uncultured bacterium. RNAcentral describes it as "partial 16S ribosomal RNA". It matches the Rfam family "Bacterial small subunit ribosomal RNA", at positions 28 to 507 of the family's 1533-position model. The record is from RNAcentral.